AUACACCGACAACUACCCUCUCUAUCACUCUUACCUGCCCAGAGAGUCCUUCAAGCCCAAGUUGGAGUACCAGAAGGGGUCCAUCCCAAUGGAAGGCCUGACCACAUCGAGGAAAGACUUUAGGCUUCACAAAGUGUUACCAGUGAAGAGCUACCAGCCUGACCAAUUCGUCCCAAGUGAAGAGAAUAUGGACCUGCUCACAACGUAUAAGCAAGAUUACAACCCCUAUUCUGUCUGUCGAGUGGACCCCAUCAAACCACGGGACAGUAAACAUCCAUGUGGUGACCAGAUGGAGUGUCUGCCUACUUAUAAAGCUGAUUAUUUACCCUGGAACCAACCAAAACGAGAGUUACUUCGUCCGGAACGCAACUACCGGCCAGCAUCAACCAGGUUUGAUAGCACAACCACACACCAGGAUGAUUACUCCUUGAAGGGCCUAGUGAACACCAUGAGCUGUAAGCCUCCGGCCAGGCCCAAGCUCUAUAACAUCCCCCUGGAGGAUCUGACCAACUACAAGAUGAGCUACGUGGCCCACCCUUUGGAGAAGCGCUUUGUGCAUGAGAUGGCGAAGUUUAGACCCUGUGAAAUCCCCUUUGACAGCCUCACCACCCACAAACAGUCCUACAGAGGUCUGAUGGGGGAGCCAGCCAAGAGCUUGAAACCUCCAGCUGGGCCCUGUGGGCUAGACACACCUUUCUCUAACACCACUGAGUUUCGAGAUAAGUACCAAGCUUGGCCAACGCCCCAGAUGUUCUCCAAAGCUCCUGUCCCCUAUGUCCCUCCUGAAGAAAAGAUGGACUUUCUGACAACCGUGCAGGCCCAUUACACAUACCCUAAGGGUGCCCCAGCUCAGUCCUGUCGACCUGUGCUCUGUGUCAAGAAGGGCGGUCACUUCGAAAGUUCCACUACCACCAAGGACGACUACAAGCAGCGGGCCAGCAUGCGCAUGGAGCCAGUCAAGCCCAUUCAUCAGCUGAACCUUCCCCCCGAGCCCUUGGACUGCUUGACCACCAUGCGGGCCCACUAUGUGCCCCACCCACCCAUCAGUACCAAAAGCUGUGAGGAGGAGGAGGAUGGUGAUGAUGAUGAAGAUGGUUGCUGAGUUCUGCCUGGUUGAGUCUACUUAAGAUUUUCUCGGUCGCUAUUUGCAAGCAUGCAGGAAGUUACAUGGGUCGCAAGGAGGGAAAGAGAAGCUGAGGGAGGGCCUGUGCAGGCGAAGAAAUUCAGUUUAGGAGUGAAUGAUCCAUGGACCUGGCACCCACCUGUGGCACUGUGACAUGCUGAGCUCCAGCUAUGGGACAGAGCUACCUGGGUGACUCAACAACUUCAUCCUUCAGUUGACCAGAGCUAAGUCAUUUCCUGGCCCUUUCACUGUUAUUUAAAACAAUGAUGGUGGGGCUUGGCGGGGGGAAGAAAACCAAGACAAUGACACACUUCAUUGCUACACUUCUUGCCUUGACUGUUAAACAUUUCCUAGAGUUGCUCACCUGGUAACUAAGUUGUUCACAGCCUGUCUACUAUCCUUCAUGGGAUUUGUAAUGAGGUCAACCCUGGCCUUUGCAGAGACUUGGCAGUGGGCUGUUUGUCAUCUUGGAGAAGGAGGCAGGUUUCCCAGAAAACUGCACAUUUAAUUUCUGUUUACACAUAUAUAAACCAUGUCUUUAGGAGCAGCCUGGGAAAUCCUUGAUUGAAGAUGGAUUUUGCCUUGGAAAACACAGAGGAUGAGGUGAGGGGAUAAUAGUGUGCUGUUGAUGAGAAAACCUACCACUUGGCCUCACCGGAGCACCAUGGCGUUCUAGUUCAGUAUCGGCACCAGCUACUUGGUUCUUCAGUAUGGCUGCGGAUUUGGGUUGUGGACAUCUGUGAUUGACAUAGUGAGUCUGAACUAUCUUCACUGAACAUUGGUACUGAGUGUGGGAGAAGGGGGAGGGGCAGGGGGAGGGGCAGCGCCAACAGGAGGACAAAGAUUGUCCCUCCCCAGGGUAGAGACAGCAACAGGGGACAGUUUGCCUCCAGGGCAUCUGCCUCAGCAGUGGGAAUCUGAUGCUUAGUGAGGCCCUCUCUGUUGGGGGAGAAAAUGGCACUGCAACGUUUUAAAAUUUCCUCUUCUUUGCCCCAUGCUUUGUCUUCUUCCUGGUGGGAAAGUGCCUCUGAUUUGUUUUGGGUCCAGAGGAAGAAAAAAUAGAUUCCCACCCAUCUAGGAUACAAGUGCUGGUGUUGGGCUGAGGAGGAUCAGACCUGAGGGAAGAUGGAGUGAAUGAGUAGAGAGCACAAGGGCAGGUGCUCCUGCCCAGUCCGGGGCUGGGUAAAGGAGGUCCAUGGUUUUCUCUUACCUCGGGAGGGCACUGCACUGCUCUGAAGUUAAACCCAGGAGGGCUGAACAAAAGCAGACUUAG
RNA transcript from Hipposideros armiger (great roundleaf bat), 2396 nucleotides. It is a transcript of the gene named stabilizer of axonemal microtubules 1, with no coding region annotated. The record is from RefSeq and is a predicted model, not a curated record. The transcript has 11 exons. Lineage: Eukaryota; Metazoa; Chordata; Mammalia; Chiroptera; Hipposideridae.